AUGAAUAUCCUAUCAUGGAACUGCCGGGGAGGGGGGGACCGCCGAACGGUUCGUGAGGUGUUGGCCCUCUCAAAAGCCAAUAACCCCAAGCUAGUCUUUCUUUGUGAGACUAGGCAAGAAGCAGCUAAAGUGGAGUAGUUGAAGUGGAGAUUAGGCCUCAAAGGCUUUCAUGCUGUUAGCAGUGACAGACGAAGUGGUGGCCUUGCUUUGUUUUGGGAGGAGACACUG
This 228-nucleotide ribosomal RNA is filed under the name Triticum aestivum (bread wheat). RNAcentral's name for it is "partial small subunit ribosomal RNA". The record is from RNAcentral. Lineage: Eukaryota; Viridiplantae; Streptophyta; Magnoliopsida; Poales; Poaceae.